This is a long non-coding RNA of Helianthus annuus (common sunflower), 549 nucleotides long. RefSeq lists it as uncharacterized. The record is from RefSeq and is a predicted model, not a curated record. Lineage: Eukaryota; Viridiplantae; Streptophyta; Magnoliopsida; Asterales; Asteraceae. The transcript has 3 exons.
UUUUCCUCUUGAUGCAACACACCACAAAACCCUACAAACAAGAAGCAGCCGCCACCUCCAUUGUUAUUAUGUUUUAACUCCAACAACUCAUAACCCAAGCAACCUUUUGUCUAAUCCUAGGUUCAUCGCAUGGGCAUGGUGUUAGUUCUUUGAUCGAGUAUCGGUUUUAUAGCAUUCGAACAUUGGGUUUAGUUAGUGUGGUCUCGGGUUCGUCUUGGAGUUUUGCUCUGUUCCAUAAAUCCAUAUCUUACAUUGCGGACUUCGAUUGACGAGGUAUUCGCCAUAGCAUGCGCCCCACCGUCAUGCCACUCCGUCGCUAUCGGGUUUCACACCAUAUCUCGCUGUAGCCGUGAACCACCAUUUUUCGCCGCUGUUAGCCACGACCACCGACUGUUGUUGUUCGGCCUUCCUUCUAUUGUCCUACGAAACUGGGAUAUCUCUUCGCCUUUUUGGAGUACUUUAUUUUUUUCAUGUGCUUAUUUCAACGAAUCAUUGAACGCAACCAAUGUUGAUGAGGACGAUGCUAAGAAAAGAAGUAGCGUUGAUGCC